UACAGAGGGGGCAAGCGUUGUUCGGAAUUACUGGGCGUAAAGCGCUCGCAGGUGGUUCGUUGCGUCGUGCGUGAAAGACCCCGGCUCAACUGGGGAGGGUCGUGCGAUACGGGCGAACUGGAGGCCAGUAGGGGGAUGCGGAAUUCCUGGUGUAGCGGUGAAAUGCGCAGAUAUCAGGAGGAACACCGGUGGCGAAGGCGGAUCUCUGGGCCUUACCUGACGCUGAGGCGCGAAAGCUAGGGGAGCAAACAGG
Molecule: ribosomal RNA, 253 nt
Filed under: uncultured bacterium
Lineage: Bacteria
Description: partial 16S ribosomal RNA
Rfam family: Bacterial small subunit ribosomal RNA
Source: RNAcentral